UCGCCGCCGCCGACGUCGCGAGAAGUCCACUGAACCUUAUCAUUUAGAGGAAGGAGAAGUCGUAACAAGGUUUCCGUAGGUGAACCUGCGGAAGGAUCAUUGUCGAUGCCUACAAAGCAGAACGACCAGCGAACUGUUUCUCAACACCCGGGACACUGGAGGGCGUUCAGCUGCCGGUAUCCCGACGCUUCGGAUGUUGAGGGGUGCGAUCCACCCCCAGCGGAUGGAGCAUCAAACACACCCCCGGCGUGCAAAGCGCCAAGGUACUCCAACGGUAGGCAAGCAACCGUACGCCUGGACUCCAUAGCGCUUGGGUGUNUGCUCGGUAUCAUAAAUNNNCGCAGCGAAAUGCGAUACUUGGUGUGAAUUGCAGAAUCCCGUGAACCAUCGAGUCUUUGAACGCAAGUUGCGCCCGAAGCUUAGGCUGAGGGCACGCCUGCCUGGGUGUCACACAUCGCUUUGCCUCCUGAACCUAUCCCCUCUGUAACACCGUGGUGAUGGUCUGGAUGCAGAAGAUGGCCUCCCGUGACCAUGAGCCACGGAUGGCCCAAAUUUGUGCUGGGGAAGCAAAGCGCCACGGCAUUCGGUGGUCGGCAUAGCCCCUGAGGCGUUGAAGGCCGUGGAAGCCGCGAGAGUCCCUAGCGUACGACCCUAAUCGUUAACCAAUGCGACCUCAGGUCAGGCGGGGCUACCCGCUGAGUUUAAGCAUAUCAAUAAGCGGAGG
Molecule: ribosomal RNA, 724 nt
Filed under: Combretum microphyllum
Lineage: Eukaryota; Viridiplantae; Streptophyta; Magnoliopsida; Myrtales; Combretaceae
Description: eukaryotic LSU rRNA
Rfam family: 5.8S ribosomal RNA (bases 335-450)
Source: RNAcentral